RNAcentral lists this ribosomal RNA (253 nucleotides) under uncultured bacterium. RNAcentral describes it as "partial 16S ribosomal RNA". It matches the Rfam family "Bacterial small subunit ribosomal RNA", at positions 524 to 776 of the family's 1533-position model. The record is from RNAcentral.
UACGUAGGGUGCGAGCGUUAAUCGGAAUUACUGGGCGUAAAGCGUGCGCAGGCGGUUUUGCAAGCCGGAUGUGAAAUCCCCGGGCUCAACCUGGGAACUGCAUUUGUGACUGUAGAGCUGGAGUACGGCAGAGGGGGAUGGAAUUCCGCGUGUAGCAGUGAAAUGCGUAGAUAUGCGGAGGAACACCGAUGGCGAAGGCAAUCCCCUGGGCCUGUACUGACGCUCAUGCACGAAAGCGUGGGGAGCAAACAGG